This 520-nucleotide ribosomal RNA is filed under the name uncultured Acaulospora. RNAcentral describes it as "SSU rRNA". It matches the Rfam family "Eukaryotic small subunit ribosomal RNA", at positions 569 to 1088 of the family's 1831-position model. The record is from RNAcentral. Lineage: Eukaryota; Fungi; Glomeromycota; Glomeromycetes; Diversisporales; Acaulosporaceae.
AGCAGCCGCGGUAAUUCCAGCUCCAAUAGCGUAUAUUAAAGUUGUUGCAGUUAAAAAGCUCGUAGUUGAAUUUCGGAAUCUGUCCGUUGGUCGGGCUUAACUGUCCGUACUGAUGUGAUGGGUUCUUACCUUCGGAAUAACCAGCAUGCCAUUAAUUUAGUGUGUUGGGGAAGCAGGACUAUUACCUUGAAAAAAUUAGAGUGCUCAAAGCAGGCUAGUGCCUGAAUACAUUAGCAUGGAAUAAUAAAAUAGGACGGCAUGGUUCUAUUUUGUUGGUUUCUAGGAUCACCGUAAUGAUUAAUAGGGAUAGUUGGGGGCAUUAGUAUUCAAUUGUCAGAGGUGAAAUUUUUGGAUUUAUUGAAGACUAACUUCUGCGAAAGCAUUUGCCAAGGAUGUUUUCAUUAAUCAAGAACGAAAGUUAGGGGAUCGAAGACGAUCAGAUACCGUCGUAGUCUUAACCAUAAACUAUGCCGACUAGGGAUCGGACGAUGUUAAUUUUAUAAUGACUUGUUCGGCGCCU